CGACGAGUUUGAUCCUGGCUCAGAUUGAACGCUGGCGGAAUGCUUUACACAUGCAAGUCGAACGGUAGAGGGGGCAACCCCUUGAGAGUGGCGAACGGGUGAGUAAUGUAUCGGAACGUGCCCAGUCGUGGGGGAUAACGUAGUGAAAAUUACGCUAAUACCGCAUACGAUCUAUGGAUGAAAGCGGGGAUCGCAAGACCUCGCGCGACUGGAGCGGCCGAUAUCAGAUUAGGUAGUUGGUGGGUAAAGGCCCACCAAGCCGACGAUCUGUAGCUGGUCUGAGAGGACGACCAGCCACACUGGGACUGAGACACGGCCCAGACUCCUACGGGAGGCAGCAGUGGGGAAUUUGGACAAUGACGCAAGUCUGAUCCAGCCCAUUCCCGCGUGCAGGAU
This 396-nucleotide ribosomal RNA is filed under the name uncultured Limnohabitans sp. Its description in RNAcentral is "bacterial SSU rRNA". It matches the Rfam family "Bacterial small subunit ribosomal RNA", at positions 1 to 409 of the family's 1533-position model. The record is from RNAcentral. Lineage: Bacteria; Pseudomonadati; Pseudomonadota; Betaproteobacteria; Burkholderiales; Comamonadaceae.